GAAGCUUUUAUGACGCCAUGGAUCAUUAACAACAACAACGACUGUGUUUAUAAAAUGAACUGUUUGUUUAUGUUUUGGGUUAGUUGAAAGUGUGACAUUCGAAGCGUUCCUGCGAGUCCCCGAAGCGAUCUCUUUUUGUGAUUCUCAGCUGUGUUCCUUAAAUUAUUCUUGCAUCUGAUUUUUUCUCAAUCAAAAUGAGGUUCGAAAAGAACCACAGUGCUUUUGUACUGCUCGGCCUCUGCGCUUUCGUAGCGGUAGCAAGUGCUCAACUUCAAAACCACCACUUUGGAAAACCAUCGAAAAUGGAAUGCGGAAGGACAUCGAAGCGGCCCACCAAGACUUUAUGGACUUGUUCGCUCAACCCUCGGACUUGAAACCCAAAGUUGAGGCCUCGGCCGCGACGAGCAGUGAGGAGAAACCCACCGUCUCGGCGCCCUCUGCCACCGAUGUCGCAACCACCAACGACACCAGGUCCACCGAAAACGACUCCAGCGAGGAGGACAUCUCCGGAGAGACCGAAAUGGAACUCUUCAAGAAAGUGUUCGGCAGGCCCAUUCCAAGUCUAUUCAGCCUUUUGAAUCAGAUGUCUCCCGCCAAACAAUGGUGGCAAGGGUAAGAAUCUUUUUAAAUUAUUCAGAGUGACAAGCUCUUAAAAAGUCAUUGAAAACCUGGAAAAGUCAAGGAAUUUUGCUCAACACUGGAAAGUCAGAGAAUUUUUCUGCAGAAUUUUAAAAAUCCUUCCUCUGGUCUGAAAAUGUCAUUAUUUCCUAUCGCUUUUACUUACUUGCUCUACCGACGAAAAUUAGGUUGAUAAGUUCUCAAAUUUUCGAUUUUUUUUCUAUUUCUAGAGACAUAUACCUAAGGCAAAAUUAUUUCGGUGAAAAGCAUCUUCAUUUGAAAUGAUAAAAAACUUUGAAAAGUCUUGGAAAAUUCAGACAAUUUUUUAGUCCAAAAGCUUGAAAAGUCAUGGCAUUUUGAAGUCACUCUGAAAUAGCCUCACGCCCUCACGGAAAGAAUUAAAUUGCUGAUUUAACAAUUUUGCAGUUAAAUAAAGUGACUGCAAUGUUUUAAUGUAGAUUUUACAAUAAAAGAAUGGUAAUUUAACC
RNAcentral lists this long non-coding RNA (1106 nucleotides) under Bemisia tabaci. RNAcentral describes it as "lncRNA ENSSSA3NGG002346". The record is from RNAcentral. Lineage: Eukaryota; Metazoa; Arthropoda; Insecta; Hemiptera; Aleyrodidae.